UGGGGAAUUUUGGACAAUGGGCGAAAGCCUGAUCCAGCAAUGCCGCGUGUGUGAAGAAGGCCUUCGGGUUGUAAAGCACUUUUGUCCGGAAAGAAAUCCUUGGCUCUAAUACAGUCGGGGGAUGACGGUACCGGAAGAAUAAGCACCGGCUAACUACGUGCCAGCAGCCGCGGUAAUACGUAGGGUGCAAGCGUUAAUCGGAAUUACUGGGCGUAAAGCGUGCGCAGGCGGUUUGCUAAGACCGAUGUGAAAUCCCCGGGCUCAACCUGGGAACUGCAUUGGUGACUGGCAGGCUAGAGUAUGGCAGAGGGGGGUUAGAAUUCCACGUGUAGCAGUGAAAUGCGUAGAGAUGUGGAGGAAUACCGAUGGCGAAGGCAGCCCCCUGGGCCAAUACUGACGCUCAUGCACGAAAGCGUGGGGAGCAAACAGGAUUAGAUACCCUGGUAGUCCACGCCCAUAAACGAUGUCAACUAGUUGUUGGGGACUUCAUUUCCUUAGUAACGUAGCUAACGCGUGAAGUUGACCGCCUGGGGAGUACGGUCGCAAGAUU
Molecule: ribosomal RNA, 550 nt
Filed under: uncultured bacterium
Lineage: Bacteria
Description: partial 16S ribosomal RNA
Rfam family: Bacterial small subunit ribosomal RNA
Source: RNAcentral